CGGGGAGGAGCGCUGCAGGGUUGCUACCCUCUGCCCCUCCUCGCCCCGACCGCAUCUUCCAUUUCGGUGGCUGGCUUCGGGAGGGUGGCUGUGGAAAGGGCCGCGCCUCAUCAGAAGUUUGUUCUGAGUCAAAACCCUGGCCCCGAUCUGAGCCGCUUUCGUCCCCCACACCUUUCCACCAUGAUGUUCUACCUCAUCUUGGGCGCAGAGCAAUGGAGUCAGACAUCUAGGACUGAGACCUCUAAAACUGCAGGAGAUGGGAAGAUUGAUCUCAGAGGACUCUCCAGCCCAAGAGAAAAGCCUUCAAUUUUGACAUUGCCCUUGCCCCAAUAAAGCCAUCCAGGAGCUGACUAGAGUUGACAAACCUGCUUACAGCCUCAAAACUUCCCAUCCAUUUUACAAUGCUCUACUUUCCCUUUUAUUCGUCUAGAAUUCUACUAAGGCAUAAUUUACAAACAACAGCAUCAGCUAUGGAAAAGAGACAUUAAACUUCAAAAAAAUCCACCAGUAACAUCCUCUGAGCAAUGACAUUGAACAUCUUUAAAUAAGGACAGGAUACUGUAGAAAAGGAAGAGUCUUAGGGGAAAGAAAGUGAGUUCUAAAAAAAUUAAACUUGCAAUAGCAAAAAUUUAUGAUUCAAUAGAAAAGAUGGAAAAUAAACUGAUAAAUUUUCCUCAAAGGAGAAUGAGAAAAAUAAACAGAUAAAAAUAGAGAUGAAAAGAUGAGAAAUUUAGAAGAUUAGGCUAGGAUUAUUUAUCAGCCAGAAAAUGUCAUUCCAGCAGAAAAGAAAAGAAAAAAACAGUGGGAAAGGAAUUGUCAAGAACAUAAACCAAGAAACCACCCUGGAAAUGAGAGUGCCCCUCAUAAUAUGUGAGACUAGCCCCAGACCAUAGCUCAUCAUGGUGACAUUUCAGAACAAUGGGACAAAGAGAAGAUACUGGAGACUUCUGGAUAGGGGGAAAAAAAAUAAAGGUUCCAUACAAUGUAUCAUGAAGCACAAUGAUUUCAAACUUCUCAAUAGCAUCAUGAGUCUGGAAAACAAUAAAGUAAAGCCUUUAAAAUUCU
Ictidomys tridecemlineatus (thirteen-lined ground squirrel) is the source of this 1065-nucleotide long non-coding RNA. RefSeq lists it as uncharacterized. The record is from RefSeq and is a predicted model, not a curated record. Lineage: Eukaryota; Metazoa; Chordata; Mammalia; Rodentia; Sciuridae.